UUUUUUGCUUUUUUGCUUUUUUCAAGAUAAGACCAGUUAUCUUAAGUGACUAGAAAAGGUAACCUUAUGGCUUUUCUCUUCAGCUAAGAAUGUUAGGGUAUAUGCAUUUUAUUAUGUUGUUGUAAGGUUGUUUGUAAAGAUUAAGUUAAUAAUGCCUUUGCCUUAUCAGUAAUCUGACCAGAUUAAAGAUGUUCCAUGGUUACUGAUGUUUUAAGUACUAUGAUCCUCUAUAUAACUCCUGUUAUUAAAAGCUGCUAAAAUACUUUUAGAGUUAUAAAACAGGCAUUGGUUUAAAAGGGCCCCAAAACUUACAGUUCAAUUGGCUGAUAAGUGUCUCCUUUGAAGAGAGGACUGCCUUUAACUUUUAAUAGUGCCCAACUGCAGAUAAAAAGUAGAGCAGUAUUUUAAUGUACUGUCAUUAAAAUCUUAGCCUUUAUUCUCAAGAGGAGAGAGAUGAAAGUUUAAAUGUUAAUAUUGUUGUUGCUUAGUCACUAAGUCAUGUCCAACUUUUUUGAGACACCACGGACACUACGCCUGCCAGGCUCCUCUGUCCAUGGAAUUUUUUAGGCAAGAAUACUGGAGUGGGGUUGCAGGAGAAGCUAAUAUACAUGACACGUAACUAACAGAGCCUUGGAAUGGCUGUUUAGUAUCAUAGAUCUAGAAAAUCAAGGGAAUUCUAAAGAGCAGCCUUGGUGUAGAUAAAGACAUCUUUUCACACUUUUGCAAAUUCAUCCCAUAAUUUUUUUUCUUUUAGGCUUACCCAAGGGAGAAUGAUUCCAUGGCUAUAAUAUUAAUAGAUAUUUUUUACUUAUAUCAUGGAAGGAGCAAACAUGACUGAGAUUUUUUUUUCCCAAGUAUUUAGUUGUAUUUUCAUAAUACCAAAAGUAUCUUGGAAAUAAAUACUUAGAAAGCCUAAACUUUUGGGGCACCGAAAGUACCAUGGUAACUUUUCUCUUAGUAUACACAAAUAUAGACCCACAUUGUAUUUUCAUUCUGUGAGCAUCAUCUCCAUAGCUGGAUUGAACGUUUCAUUUCAGUAACAUACACACAAACUGUAAGCCACUCUCUCUCUAAAAGAGAAGUGUCUGAAGACAACUUAUUUAGUGGAACAGCGAGUUAUACUGGAACAGCUGAAAUGGGUCUGGCUAAUACAGUUCCUUUAGCAGAAUGUUAAGUGAAAGCUAACCACCCUUUAGAAGAUCACUUAUUUUGCCUUAAUGGUGUUAAUUAGAUUUGUUUUCAUUAAGUAUUCGACUGUUGAAAAGAAACCAAGUUCAGUUUGCUGUCACUGGAGCCUCUGCAUACUGACCAGAUCACCUGUACCAAUUCUCUUCAGCUCUGCUCCUCUGUUCUUUGACCUGUUUUCUUGCUAAAUGUGUAGCUUCAGGCAGAGCUCUCUUUCCUUCAAGAAACAAUUGACCUUUUUUAGGGAGGGGUUAGAGUGUACCCAUGGUGGAAUGUAUAUGUUCUUUAUUUGGGUUGACAGAUUACAAUGAAAAAUUCAUUUUGCUCCUCAAUUAAGGAGUUUUCAGUAUUGUCAUAAUUACUAGUUAAAUUGCUAGGUUCUAAUCUGGAUAAACACAAGGAAUGUUACUAGCUUUAUUAAAAAAAAUACAAAAUAUAUUUUAACUCAAAUAUACCUAAACUAUAAGACUUAACCUUAUUACAGAUGAAAUAUUUUAAAUAUUAAUAUAUGCCUUUCAGCAAAUAAUUUUGGUAACCACAAAGGACACUCAAAUUGUAAAAACAACAGAGGAAACAAAAAACUGUCUGGCAUGUAAAACCAAUUUUAAUGUGAUUAUUAGCUGCAGGUUUUUUAAAUUAAGGUCGGGGAGCCUCAGAUUUCUUGCUUGUGAAGUAGUGUCUUUUUCUCUUGCCUGAAAAGGAUGUAAACUGAUUCUGCUUCUCUCCAUAAUCUCUUGCAUUCUGGUUGUGAUAACAGACCGAUUGGAGAUUUUCUGCCUCCUUGGAAAAGGCUCAGGUAGGCAGCAAAACAAAAGAUAGGUAGAUAGAUUUAAACAGACUUUAGUAAUUAGCUUAGUGCCAAUAUGAGAGGUGUGUAGUUAGAUAACUGUCCCAUAUGCAGGUGAAAAAGAGAGAGUAUAAUAAAAUUCCCGAUUUUAUUUUCUAUAGCCACAACUAGAGAGAGGAUACUUGUUGGGGGAACUUACAUUUUUUGAAACAACUGUCAUAAUAACAUGUAAGACUUUUAUCAGUGAACUAAGUAUAUAGUGUAUAUAUAUAUAUAAGGGCUUCCAAAGUAGGUGUUUCAGUUUAGAUGUAUCUCAGUUAAAAUAUACUUUGCAUUAAUUUUUUAACAAAUUACAAAUUUAACAAAUAACUUUCCAUGUAUUUAUCCAGAGUAGAAUUUAGUAAUUUAACUCAUACUUUGGCAAACAUGUUAUUGCUGUUACUUUUAGAGUCAAACUACUACUACACAACUUGUAAAGGUCCUCAUAGUCUCAUAAACACAGAGCAUUUUUUGUUUCUCAUCAUUGCGCAUAUAAAGUAUGUGAAAAGUUCUCUUGAUGACCAGCCUUGUCUGUGUUUCUCUUCCUCCCUCCUUCACUCUCUCAACCCUUAAAGAUAUUAAAUUUUAGAAAGGAAUGGGUCGUUUAUUCCAUUCUUCUUGCCAGAUGAGUCACUAGCUAAUCUAAUAAAUUUUCAAUCUGACAGUAACAGAUAAUAAUGUGCUACCAAAUCUUUCUGUCACACACAUCUGUUAUAUGUCAUUACAGACUUCAGUCUUCUUAUACAGGCAUACAACUACAUAAUUUUAACAGUAUUAGUUUGUAUUCUGCCCUUUUCACUUUGCUAUGAAACACAGGCUUAGACUUCUUCCAUGGCAACAAAGAUCCACAUCAUUGUUCUAAACACAUACAAACUCCCAUGUUGUCUCAAUAUAAUUAAGGAGCACCCAACUGACUGUCACUAAGUUUUUCUUUUUUUGCAAUUUUAUUGGGAUGUCUUUUUUUUUUUUUAAUUCAUUCAUCUUUCCAUUUAUAUAUUUCCUUAGCUUCUAUGCCUAGGAAUAGAGCUGCUUGAUUCAAGAAUAUGGAUGUUUUUAGAACCUUUGGUGACUCUAAAAUUGGCCUCCAGAGAAGCUGUAACAAUAUACAAUGUCCCUGGUGGUGUGAGAGAGGACACUUUCUCAUAGUCUCAUAAACAAAAUUUUUUGUUUUUCAUCACUGCUCAUCAAACAGAGAAUCCAGAGAAAAUUUUAAAGACAUUGGAGAAAUAAUAAGAAUGAACAGCACUGCUUUCUACCAGUUGGAAACAUUUUUCAGGUGGUUUAUUUUAUGUUCAGGUAACAGAGUGCCCUUUUAUUUGAAAUUACAAUAGUUCCUGAUUAUAACGAGUGAUAGAUUCAGCAAAAAGUUGGCCAAAAUUAAAUACAACCAAAUGAAAAUACAGUUGCUCCUUGAACAGCAUGACAGACAUACCAAUGCCCCCACAGUUGAAAAUCCACAUAUAACUUUGCAGUCAGCCCUCUGUAUCCACAGUUCUGCCUCCUCAGAUUCAGCCAACUGUGAGCUGUAUAGUACUUUAGUACAUUUUAUUGGAGAAAAGCCACUUAUAAGUGGUUCAAACCUGUGCAGUUCAAAUCAGUGUUUACUUGAGGGCCAACUGGAAUGAACCUCACAGUUACAUAAUUUUUAUUAUUAGAAUACUUAAAAUGUCACUAAGUCAGCCAGAAUUUGAAACAUAUAACUUGAGGUUAUCACUAAUAGCCAAUAUUUAUUUUCCAAGUUAUCUGAGGAUGCCAGAAAUAUGAGUAAUAUACUUUGUAUAGCUCAGAAAAUUGGAAAAUUCUUCUGUAUAUUGAGUAGAAAUGUGCCACUAUGUAACUGUUCACUGACUCUAACUGUACCCUAUGGAAUAUAAUUUUCAUUUUGUUAAUUUAAUUUUCUGUUACUUUCAUCAGUAUUUUCACUGGAAGGAAUGAAACCUAUUUUAGGUUUUUUUCAUUCACUCCAGCCUAAACCCAUAUAUCCCAGAAUUGAUUAUAAAGCCCCUGUUUCAUAAGAAAUUUAAAGAUAACUUUAGGUGUAACUACAUGAAGAAACAGGAUUAUAAAGUAUUUUCUGCUUGGAAUCAGACCAUGGUGAAACACAUUUACCUACAAUUCUACAAUCCAGGUAACUUAAUACACACGUGGACAGUGUUAUCCAAAAGCCCACUUAAGCCAGUAGCCCACAAUAUUAUUUUUUCUCAUACUGAGGAAGAAGAGAAGCCUUGUCUAUAUGCACCUGUGUAGGAAUAUAGGUCUUCUCCCAAAAGGAAGCUAGAAAAAAGCCACACAUCUACAUUAAGACAGAGACCAUAUCUAAUAUAAUUGUAUGUGAUAUAAAAGCAGAAUGAAUACUGGAAAACGCAUUCUAGAAUAUGCUAGUGAAGUAAUACUAAACACUCAUGACUAAACUGGCACUCAUGUUAUCAAAGUCAUCUAGAUCAGAGAGAAAUGGAUUUAGUGAAAACCAAGUCACUUCCAAUGUCAUCUCUAUUUUCAGAUGACAUGAUAUUACAUAUGGAAAACCCUAAAGAUGCCAUCUAAAAACUGUUAAUAAACUAUUUCAGUAAAAUCAUAGGCAACAAAAUCACUAUACAAAAAUUAGUUGUAACUCUGUACACCAACCAACAAACUAUCAAAAAUAGCAAUUAACAAUUCCAUAUACAAGAGCAUCAAAAAGAAUAAAGUGCUAGUUAUAAAUUUAACCAAGAAGAUGAAAGAUCCAUACACUGAAAACUGUAAGACAUUGAUGGAAGAAACUGAAGGAGACACAAAUAAAUGGAAAGAUAUUUUGUAUUCAUUUCAUGCUAAGUUGCUUCAUUUGUGUCUGACUCUUCGUGACCUGUAGCCCACCAGGUUCCUCUGUCCUUGAGAUUCUCCAGGAAGGAACACUGGAAUGGACUGCUGUGCCUUCCUCCAGAGAUCUUCCUAACCCAGGGAUCAAACUAUGUCUCUUACAUCUCCUGACUUUACCACUAGCACCACCUGGGAAGCCCACAUUCAUGAUUGGAAGAAUUUAACACUGUUAAAUUGUCCAUACCACCUAAAGUGAUCUACAGAUCCAAUAUAAAACCUCUCAAAAUUCUAAUGGCAUUUUUCACUGAAAAAGAAAUAGUCUGAAAAUCCCAGAUAGCCAAAGCAAUCUUGGAGGGGAAAAAAAAAGCGGGAGGGAUCACAUUUCUGAGUUCAGCUUAUAUUGCAAAGUGAUAAUAAUCAGAACAGUAUGGCACUGGCAUUAAAAACAUAAUAGAGAGGCCAGAAAUAAACCCAUUGGUUUACUAAUUAGAACAAAAAGUUUUAACAUUAGUAUGAAAACAUGAAAGAUCCCUAAUAAUCAAAGCUAUCUUGAGAAAGGAAAACACAGCUGGAGGAAUCAGGCUCCCUGACUGCAGACUACAAGCUACAGUAAUCAAGAGUAUGGGACUGGCACAAAGACAGAAAUAUAGAUCAAUGGUACAGGAUAGACAGCACAGAGAUAAACCCACACACCUACCCUAACCCUAUGCCUAUGGUGACCUAAUCUAUGACAAAGGAGGCAAGAAUAUACAAAGAAGAAAAGAUAAUCUCUUCAAUAAGCAGUGCUGGGGAAACUGGACAACUACAUUUAAAAGAAUGAAAUUAGAACAUUCCCUAACACCAUACACAAAAAAAACUUCAAGAUGGAUUAAAGACCUAAAUGUAAGACCAGACACUAUAUAAAACUCUUAGAGGAACACACAGGAAAAACACUCUGAGAAAAUCACAGCAAGAUCUUUUUGUGAUGCAUAUCCUAGAGUAAUGAAAAUAAACAAAUGGGACCUAAUUAAACUAAAAAGCUUCUGCACAGCAAAGGAAAACAGAAGAUGAAAAGACAACCCUCAGAAUGAGAGAAAAUAUUUACAAAUGAAGCAACUAACAAAGGAUUAAUCUUCAAAAUAUACAAACAGCUCAUGAAGCUCAAUAUUAAAACAGCCUAAUCAAAAAAAUGGGCAAAAAACCUAAAUAGAUGUUUGCUUAAAAAAAAAAAAAAAAAACAGUACAGAUGGCCAAGAGGCACAUGAAAAGAUGCUCUACAUCACUAAUUGUCAGAGCAAUGCAAAUCAGAACAACAAUGACAUAUCACCAUGCUAUUCAGAAUGGCCAUCAAAAAAUCUACCAGCAAAUGCUGGGGGUGGUGUGGAGAAAAGGGAACCGUCUUGCACUGUUGGUGGGAAUGUAAAUUGAUACAGCCUCUAUGAAGAACAAUAUGGAGGCUCCUUUAAAAGACCUAAUAUAGAACUACCAUAUGACCCAGCCAUCCCACUGCUGGGCAUAUACCCUGAGAAAACCAUAAUUCAAAAACACACAUGUACCACAAUGUUCACUGCAGCACUGUUUACAAUAUCCAGGGGAUGGAAGCAACCUAAAUGUCCAUCAACAGAUAAAGGUAUAAAGAAGACAUGGUACAUGUAUGUAAUGGAAUGUUACUCAGCCAUAAAAAAAGGAAUGAAAUUGGGUCAUUUACAGAGAUGUGGAUGGCUCCAGAGUCUGUUAUACAGAGUGAAGUCAGUCAGAAAGAGAAAAACAAAUAUUGCAUAAUAACACAUAUAUGUGAAAUCCAGAAAAAUGGUACAGAUGAACCUAUCUGCAGGGCAGAAAUAGAGACACAGAUAUAGAGCACAAGCGUGUGGACACAGUGGGGGAAGGAAGGGUGGGGCAGAUUGGGAGGUUAGGAUUUUACACAUGUAUACUGCCAUAUGUAAAACAGGUAGCCAGUGGGAAGCUACUGUAAAUGCAUAGCACAGGGAGCUCAGGCCAGUGCUCUGCAAUGACCUAAAUGGCUGGGAUGGUGGGCGGGGGCUGGCGGCACAGCCCAGCGAGGAGGGACGUAUGUAAUACAGCUGAUUCACUUUGCUGUACAGCAGAAAGACAACAGUGUAAAGCACUUGCACUCCAAUAAAAAAAUAUUUAUUAAAAGAAAUAAAGCCACUGGUUUAUUUUUAUUAAUACAGGUAACUAAUUUUUGACAAAGCCAAGAAUAUACAAUGAGAAAAGGAUAGUCUGUUUAAUAAAUGGUGUUGGGAAACUGGACAGUCACAUGUAAAGGAUGAAACCAGGCUUCUGUCUUAUGCCACACACAAAACUAACUCAAGAUAGACAGACUUGAACAUGAGACCCAAAACCAUAAAACUAGAAGAAAAUGUAGGGAAUAAGCCCCUUGACAUUAGUCUUCAUGUUGAUUUUUUGGAUUUGACAACAAAAGCAAAGGUAACAAAACCAAAAAUAAAAACAAGUGGGACUACAUAAAAUUAAAAAGCUUCUACACAGGAAAUUGUCAACAAAAUAAAAAUGAAACCUAUGGAAUGGGAGAAAAUUCCUGCAAGCCAUACAUCCAAUAAGGGAGUAACAUCAAAAUAUACAAGGAUCUCAUAGAAAUACAAUACCAAAAAACCCCAAAUAAUUCAUUUUUAAAAUAGGCAAAUGUCCUCAAUAGACACUUUUUCCAAAGACCUAUAAGUGGCUAACAAGAAUAUGAAAAGAUGUGCAACAUCAUUAAUCAUCAAGGAGAUGCAAAUCAAAAAUAUAGUAAGGUCACCUCAAAACCUGUUAUAUGAAAAAAACAAGAGUGAUAAUAUGCUGGUGAGGAUGUGGAGAAAAGAAAAUUCUUGUAGACUUUUGGUGAGAAUGUAAACUUGUACAGCCACUAUGGAAAACUGUAUGAAGGUUCCUCAAGAAAUUAAAAACAGAACUACUAUAUGAUCCAGCAAUCCCAGUUCUGGGUAUAUAUCCAAAGGAAACAAAAUUGUUAUCUCAAAGACAUCUGCACUCCCAUUUUCAUAGCAACAUUAUUCACAAUAGCCGGUGUACAGAAACAAAGUGUUCUUCAACUGAUGCACGUGUGCACAAAAUGUGUUUAUACACACACAUACAGUGAAGUAGUAUUCAGUCAAAAGUCAAGAUUCAUAGAAAAAUUGCAGAAAAGUAGCUGCCAGGACUAGGAGAUGGGGGAGAUAAGGAGAGGUUGGUGCAAAGGUAUAAACUUUCAACUAUAAGUUGAAUAAGGUUUGAGGAUUUAACGUAUAACAUGGUGACUAUAGUUGAUAACACGGUACUGUAUAAUUAAAAUUUGCUAAGUAAGAACUUAAAUGUUCUCAACAAAAACUAUUGAAGAGAAAUUCUCAGGAAAAAAAGGAUCAACCAUUUUGUGGCACCAGGAGAUAUGUUCUUGGCAAAGAGGAUAAAAUAUUAAAAUAAUUGUUGAACCACAUAAAAUUGGAAAGUUGACCAGUUGUUUUCUUACAUGUUUAAAUUGCCUUUUUAAGUAGAAGAAGAGUAUGGCCCCAAAAUGAUUAUAGUGAUAUUUACCAUUCAUUUCAUUAUUUAAAACUGAGGAUCUGAAAGACUCAGGUUAUAGUAGCUAUUUGUUUUGUGUGGUAUGGAUAGUCCAGAUUGUGAUAUAUGCAUAGUCCCCGACUUAACAAUGGUUCAGCUUGACUAUUUUUCAGUUUUAUGAUAGUGCAAAAGCAAUAGACCUUCAGUAGAGACUAUACUUCGAAUUUUGACUUUUGGUCUUUUCCCAGGCUGGUGAUAUGCAGUACAGUACUCCCCAUCAUGUUGGCUAGUAGCAUUGACGUGAUUAUGAGUAAACAACUGAUACACUUGCAACCACUUGCAGUACAGUAUUCAAUAAAUUACAUGAGAUAUAAAAUACUUUAUUAUAAAACAGGCUUUGUGUUAGAUGAUUUUGUCCAGUUGUAGGCUCAUGUAAGUGUUCAGAGUAUGUUUAAGGGGAGUGUUAGUGUCUGAUUCUUUGGGACCCCAGGGACUGUAGCCCACCAGGCUCCUCUGUCCACUGAGUUCUCCAGGCAAGAAUACUGGAGUGGGUUGCCAUGCCCCUUUUCCAGGGGAUUUUUCUGACCCAGGGAUCAAACCCGGGUCUCCUACAUUGCAGGCAGUUUCUUUACCAUCUGGCCAAAAGCUUUGGUGUUCAUGUUCAGUAGGUUAGGUAUAGUAAAAACAUUUUCAACGUAUCCUUCACGGAUCACUGUCUUGUUGUGGCAAAGGGGCUUGUGCAACUCAGUGAAGCUAUGAGCCAUGCUGUGUAGGGCCACCCAAGACAGAUGGGUCAUAGCAGAGAGUUCUGACAAAACGUGAUCCACUAAAGCCUUUGACUGUGUGGAUCAUAACAAAUUGUGGAAAAAAGCUCUUAAGAGAUGGGAAUACCAGACCAUCUUACGUGUCUCCUGAGAAACCUGUAUGGGGGUCAAGAAGCAACAGUUAGAACGCUGUAUGGAACAACUGGUGGUUCAGGACUGAGAAAGGAGUACGACAGGGCUGUCUGCCAUCACCCUGUAUGCUGAGCACAUCAUCAGAAAUGCUGGGCUGGAGUAGUUACAAGCUGGAAUCAAGACAGGUGGGAGAAACAUCAACAACCUCAGAUAUAUGGAUGAUACCACUCUAAUGGCAGAAAGUGAAGAGGAACUAAAGAGCCUCUUGAUGAGGGUGAAAUAGGAGAGUGAAAGAGUUGACUUAAAACUAAUAUUAAAAAAAAAAAGAUCAUGGCAUCCGGCCCCAUACUUCAUAGCAAAUAGAAGGGGAAAAGGUGGAAGCAGUGAAAGAUUUCCUCUUCUUGGGCUGUGGACGGUGACUGCAGCCAUGAAAUCAGAAGGUGAUUGCUUCUUGGCAGGAACACAAUGACAAACCCAGACAGUGUUGAAAAGCAGACAUUACUCUGCAGACAAAGAUCUGUAUAGUCAAGGCUGUGGUUUUCCCAGUGGUCAUGUACAGUUGUGAGAGCUGGACCAUAAAGAAGGCAGAACACCAAAGAAUGGAUGCCUUCAAACUGUAGUGCUGGAGAAGGCUCCUGAAAGUCUGUUGGACAGCACAGAGAUCAAACCAGUAAAUCUUAAGGGAAAUCAACCCUGAAUACUUGUCAGAAGGGCUGAUGCUGAAGAUGAAGCUCCAGUAUUUUGGUCAUCUGAUGCGAACAGCCAACUCACUGGAAAAGUCCCUGAUGCUGGGAAAGAUUGAGGGCAGAAGGAGAAGAGGGUGUCAGAGGGAGAUGGCUGGAUGGCAUCACUGAUGCAGUGGACAUGAAACUGGGCAAACUUUGGGAGAUGGUGAGGGAUGGAGAGGCCUAGUGUGCUGCAGUCCACGGGGUCGCAAAGAGUCGGACACUGGGUGACUGAACAACAACAGCCCCAGCAUAAAUCAAGAAGACCUAUACUGUAUUCAGAAUUCUGUCAGUACAAGGAGUUAGCUAACCACGUAUUCUCAAACCAGCGCAUGGAUAAUAACUUCUUUGGGAGGAGUCUUUCUGGAGUUGUAACAAAUACCAACUAUUGACCUCAGAAACCAUCCCUUCAAAGGAACCACAAUUUGAUUUGAUUUCUUUGUGGAGUAAUUUCUGCCCUCAUGCAUUUUGUAGAAAACAGAGCUUCAGCCAGCAAUUAAUGGAGUUUAACAGCUGGUUGUAGUCAGGUAAAGAGAGGAAGAGAGUCCUACAAAUACUACUAGACUAGCAUCCUAAGAUGACUGGGCAUCAUACCACACCUAUCCGAGGAACAACAUCAGAGCCUAAUGCUGUAGGGGCAGAGGGCAAUAGGCUUCACUAAGAUAAUCUAGCCAUCCACUAAAAUUACAUGCAAAUAAAACAAAUCUUAAUUGGGGGAAGGGUGUGGUGAGGGGAAAAUUACUAACCAGAAUUGCUGCAAUAUAUUACCUGAAAGUUCAGUUUUGAACAAAAAUAAUGAGUCUUGAAGACAGGAAAAUAUGACCCACGUAUUAGAACAGAGGCAAGAGAAACUGCCCUGGAAGAGUAACCAGAGGGGACUUCCCUGACUGUCCAGGGGCUGAGACUCUCGAGCUCCCAAGGCAGGGGGCCAGGGUCAAUCCUUGGUCAGGGAACUAUACGUCAGAUCCUACAUGCUGCAGUUAAGAGUUCACAUGUCACAACUAACAGACUAAAGAUCUUGUAUGCUGCAAUUAAGACUUGGCACAGCCAAAUAAAUAAACACUUAAAAAAAAAGGGUGACCAAAGAUAUGAUUUCACAGAAAAAGACCUCAAAAUAACAAUUUUAAAUGUGUGAGAUAGAAAUUAUUUUUAAAAAUAAUAAAAGAACCAAUGGAGAUUCAAGUAUAAUAAUUACAAUUCCAAAAAUUCACUAGAGAUACACUCCACAGUAGAUUUAAACUGACAGGAAAGAAUUAGCAAACUUGAAGAUAGAUCAAUAGAGAAAUUCAAGCUGAGGGACAGAGGGGAAAACAAAAGAACAGUGAACAGAGCCUCAGAGAAAACACCAACAUAUGCAUAAUGGGAGUCAGGAGAGAAAGGAGGGGAAAAAGUCCAAAGAGUGUGUGGGUGAAAACUUUCAAAGUUUACUGAAAAAUGCUAACCUAAAUACAUCAGGAAACUCAGUAAUUCUGAGUAGGAUAAGUUCAAGAAUGUCAACAAAAGAUGCAUCAUAAUAAAAAUGCAAGGAGUCAAAAUAAGGAGAAAAUUUUGAAGGCAGCAAGGAAGAAAUGACUUGUGACUUAGAAGGGAAACCCCUCCCCGUAAGAUUAACAGCCUUCUUCUCAACAUAAACCAUGAAGGCCAGGAUGCAGUGGAAUAACAUAUUCAGAGUACUCAAGAAAAACUUGCCGACCAGCAAAACUAUUUAUCCAAAAAAAAAAAAAAGCAAAAAAACUUUUCAAUAUAAAUAAAAACUGAAGUUCUUCAGUCUGAAAGCAAGUAACCCCAGGUGGUAAUUUGAAUCCACAUGAAAAAGAGCACCAGGAAAGGUAAUUAGGUAAUUUUAAAAGACAGUAUAAAUAUAUGUUUUCUCCUUAACUGAUUUAGAAAGCAGUUGUAAAUAAUAGCUACAUGUUACUCUCAGGCCUAUAACAUAUAGAAAGGUAAUAUUUGUGUAAUAUCUUUACCAACAACAGCACAAAGGAUGUGAGGGGCAGCAAGGCUGUAUGGGCUGAGUAAACCACUACAGAAGGUGAAGUAGUAAUUUUAAAAGUGUUACUGGAUUUCUAACAUGAAUAGAUACAGUUUAUAUAAUGGACAUACUACAGUACAGGGGUAAAGAGAACAAAGCUAUAUAGCAGUAAUGUUUCUAUAUAUCCCUGAAUUAAGGCAGUAUAAAUCUGAAGCUGUCAUAAGUUAAGAUGUAUAUGGUAAACCCUAGAGCAACCUCUUAAAAAAAAAAAACUCAAUAAAGUACAGUAAAAAAAAAAAAAAA
Dama dama (fallow deer) is the source of this 12198-nucleotide long non-coding RNA. RefSeq lists it as uncharacterized. NCBI's taxonomy places the organism in Eukaryota, Metazoa, Chordata, Mammalia, Artiodactyla, Cervidae. The transcript has 2 exons. The record is from RefSeq and is a predicted model, not a curated record.